This 301-nucleotide ribosomal RNA is filed under the name uncultured bacterium. RNAcentral's name for it is "partial 16S ribosomal RNA". It matches the Rfam family "Bacterial small subunit ribosomal RNA", at positions 509 to 807 of the family's 1533-position model. The record is from RNAcentral.
CAGCCGCCGCGGUAAUACGGAGGGGGCUAGCGUUGUUCGGAAUUACUGGGCGUAAAGCGCACGUAGGCGGCUGUGUAAGUCAGAGGUGAAGGCCCGGGGCUCAACCCCGGAAUAGCCUUUGAGACUGCAUAGCUUGAACACGGGAGAGGUGAGUGGAAUUCCGAGUGUAGAGGUGAAAUUCGUAGAGAUGUGGAGGAAUACCGAAGGCGAAGGCAGCCCCUUGGGAAUGUACUGACGCUCAUGUGCGAAAGCGUGGGGAGCAAACAGGAUUAGAUACCCCGGUAGUCCCUGUCUCUUAUAC